This is a long non-coding RNA of Nannospalax galili (Upper Galilee mountains blind mole rat), 453 nucleotides long. RefSeq lists it as uncharacterized. The transcript has 4 exons. NCBI's taxonomy places the organism in Eukaryota, Metazoa, Chordata, Mammalia, Rodentia, Spalacidae. The record is from RefSeq and is a predicted model, not a curated record.
UAUUCUGAUAGGCUCAUAGCUGGCAACCUGGAAUAAAAAAUCCAUACCGUGGUGUUGUUGUUUGGCCUGUUCCUGAAAACAUUGAAAUUACUGUAACACUUUUUAAGGACCCUCAUGCAGAGGAGUUUGAAGACAAAGAGUGGACAUUUGUCAUAGAGAAUGAAUCUCCUUCUGGUCGGAGGAAAGCUCUUGCUACUAGCAGCAUCAAUAUGAAACAGUAUGCAAGCCCUAUGCCAACUCAAACUGAUGUCAAGUUAAAAUUCAAGCCAUUGUCUAAAAAGGUUGUGUCUGCCACUCUCCAGUUUUCAUUAUCUUGCAUCUUCCUUCGGGAAGGAAAAGCAACAGAUGAAGACAUGCAGAGUUUGGCCAGUUUGAUGAGUAUGAAGCAGGCUGACAUUGGCAAUUUAGAUGAUUUUGAAGAAGAUAAUGAAGAUGACGAUGAGAAUCGAGUGA